Molecule: non-coding RNA, 7072 nt
Organism: Anas platyrhynchos (mallard)
Lineage: Eukaryota; Metazoa; Chordata; Aves; Anseriformes; Anatidae
Source: RefSeq, a predicted model, not a curated record
GGAAAGCAGAGAAGAGUAAUGUUGCAGCGGUCAUGUAGCAAUGGUGGUGUGAUGGGUGUUCUUUGGAUAAUUAAAAUCUGGGAAGAAAAAGAACCUAUCUUCAGAAGAAGUUGUCUUCGUUUUUGAAAUGAUUGAAGCUACUCCUAUUCCCUUGUGCAAAGAAAGUGGUUAAUUCUCUCCCAGGAUAAUGAGGUGAAUCAGUCAACCAAGGAGGCAGCUGAGGGCCAGAGCCAUUGCAAGGGGAGCGGUGGGUGAGCGUGGAACAACAAGGAGGCAGGAAGGCCCGUGCAGCAGCACAGAGAGGGGAGCUUCUCUUCACCAUCGCUGACCCUCAUCUUCACUCGGCUCCUCUUCUGAACUGCUCUCCAGUGGGUGCCUGAGGAGCCUGUGAUGAUCAGCUUCUUGUCACUGCAAAUUUACUACCAGCAUUUCUCAUCAGUACCUAGGGCAGGUGAGGUAAGAACAGUUUGAACUCUCAAGAACAUGCCAACAUAAGCAAGACCAUAAGGAGCAGAUCCUUAUCUCUCAGUGAACAGAUCAUACCUACGCUUGAAUCCCGAGUCACAAAGCUCUAAGCUAGCUGUCUCAGAUGCUGAUAGCAACAGAGCUACGAAACGUGCUCUGGUCUGCAAAACCCACCCAAGGCUUUGAGUAAAUAUUUGUGCAGCUACCUGUCUGGUCUCCAUAUGGUUACCAGUAUGUCUGCUGAUAUUUGUGUAUGAGCUGCAGUCAAAGCCCUAAGGCUGAAGUACAGAUAUAUCCUUCUACAACAGCUUAUAAAAAGAAGCUCUGUUAUAUUUGCCCUUCAUGUUUUCCUCAUUCUCUUUUCCUUGUACUGUUUUACUUUCAUAAAACAAAACAAACAGGAACCACAGGAAAACUCCUACCCAUGAGUCUAGUUACCCACCUUCAAUAACUCACUAAAAAAAGGGGAAAAAGGGAUGAAAGAGAAGAGGAAGGCUGGUUAAGACCACGCUCUUAUUGGACUGUCUUUUCCUCCAGAUCUAUUCCUUCCUUGUUAUUAGUAUUUUCUAAAUUAGGGUACAGCCACUGCUCAUGUGGAAAAGAGUUUAUUUACAAGGAGGAAAAGGCUGUUGCUGACAUGAAACGUGCUGUUGCUUGAUUGCUUCCAUUGCUGGGAAAGCAGAGCUGGCUCGGAGCUAGACAGCCAGAUAAGCCAGAUUCACAGGAAGGAGGCGAGGGGCUGGAAAGGAGCCAACGAGAUAGUAUGACAUGGCAGGUACAAAAAGACACUUGAUCCGAGUGGGAGUCAGCUCCGGCAGGCAAGCUGUUGUGAGGAGUGACGGUGAGUACGUUAAUAACAAAUGACAGCCUUUGAAGUUGGCCUAGUGGUGGACAGACAGUUGCCAAACAGGGGCUCCUCCUGUAGUGCAAAGCUUUGGAAGGAGUACACUGCGAUUCAGAUGGGUGAGGGGGAGCACGAAGUGAAGAGCAAAGCUGGUCGUGAUAAAUGAGUCCUGGAGGAUUCGUGGCAGCCUAAUGGGGAACAUACGCAACGCACCCUGUUUAUGAGUGAAGACCAGGAGGCCUACACAUGUCAGGAACCAAAAGCUGGCUUCUGUUCUGGGGGAGGAGGAGGAAAGCAUCGAGCAGCUGUGAGGAAAUCAAGCCACAGCUAUUGGAGUUUAAGGGAAGCUUUACUGGUGAGCAUACAACUGGCCUGGCUUUUCAUUCAGUUACUUUGACAUCAAUGCAGUCAUGUCAACAACAAAUGAAUCGAACGUGGUGUCUCUCAGGAUCUUUCCAAGCAAAUUCCAGCUUGCUGGGCAUGAAAACCAGCUGAAGAACAGCACAGAAAAAUGGCAACAAGGAAAAGCAUGAGUUUUGUUUAGUAACAGGAGGAAUAAGGUUCUGGCACAUGAGGAAACACCAAAAGAACUUAGGUGUACGUAGGCUAACAUGUAAAACAGAGACUUAAAAACUUAAAAACUGCUUCCUUGGCCUGUAAGGACUGAUCCAAGUGCACUUAAGGGUGUGAAAGAUCCAGAUAAAGAAUCAGUGUUAGAGUAUAGGUGGGGAACAAGAAGAUGAAAUAGAUAAAAUUUGAGUGUGGAAGUGAAUUUAACAACAUCACCUAAAACAGACACUUCAGCAGCACAAGCUGCUGGAGAGAUAUACCAAGAUGUCCAGAUGAUAUUAGUUUAAAAAUGAUGUAAUUGUACCAUUGUUUUAUCUGUCAGUUCUCUACCAUCUGUUGUACAUUUGCAAUGCAUUUUCAGAGCAAAUCUUUUCUUCUUUUGUCAAAUAAAAGACUCAAACUGAGGAAAGAAAACUGAGUCCUCAGGGAGCCUGUACAAUGGAUGGUAUGAAAUGUUUUAGACUUUUACAACACCUUAAAAAAAAAAAGAUUUGGAUAGCACGUGCAGUCUGAAUUAGAGAACACUGGUUCCAUUUUCUUGCUUUGCAAUUGAAGAAAUAAACUAUGUUAAGCUCACUUUCUUUUGACCCAGUGUUCUCGUCCUAAUCACAAAAGUGUAUGUCACCCUAAACCUCACUGGUUUUGGAGUUCAAGCGAUCCUUAAUCCUGCCUCAGUUGUGAGGAGGCAACUGCAAAAUGUUGGAACUUAAAUUCAUCCUUCAAGCACUCUUGGGUCUUCAGAGCAAGGUGGCUCCAGUGGCGUUUGUGUUCUCUCAUCAAGGAGCAGACUUCAGAAAAAAAUCUGUCUGAAAAACAAUUGCCCAUCUAAUAAUGCAAGAGAAAAUAGGUAUAGAAAGGGCAGAAACAGUUCAAAGACAGAUGGACAGUGCAAGAGGAUGGUUUCAAACGGCCUCAGCUAGUCUUUGACCUGUCCUUUGCAGUAUUGCAGAUUGGAUUUCCAUGUGCCCCCCAUACUUGUUCUGGAGCUCUAAGAGUUAUACUGAGACGAUAUGAUGACUGCAGCUUUACAGCUAUCUAUACUUAAUGUGCACGUUAAGGAAGACAAAAGCCAAUUUAUUUCUAACAUCACUUCUCUCAGCGCCUCUAAUGUUUCUGCUUCUGAAUCAAAGGGAGGCAUUCUACAGUAGGACAUAAAUAAAUAGCUUUUCCUUGGGGGAAGAAGCAUUUUCCCAUCUUAAAGAAAUUUCUUUGGCCAUGUGAAAUUCAAAUUUGUUAACUUGCCCUACAAACAGCAACUCAUUUAGAAACAAAUUACAAAUAUUAGAUGGAGACAGUGAACUUGAUAAUGCAAUGCUGCCACAUCAGUUGUAGAAUAAUGCAUCUUAAUGAAGGCUUCCCAUGUGAAUAAACCAUUAUAUUUACAAGCUUUUCACAGUUAAUGACCCAGAACUGGAUAACGAAACUCACAUUUUUAGUGUGGUCCUCUGUCAGCAAAAGUAUACAUAUUAAUAAUUGAUGUUGCUGUAAAAAUAGGGCAUAAUAGGAAGAUUCCUGAGUUUGUGGGAAAAUAGGACUACAUGGUCCAUUAACUUAAAAUGCUUAUCUAAUGUUUGAUGGGCUUUGUCUUUAAAAUCCUUGUUUAAAUUAAUAAGGCAAAAUGGACAUUUGUCUAAAAGAGAAUUUUGUUCCAACUCAUCAGUCACAAGCAUGCUGAUGAGAGAGCUGUUUGAUCUUCUGCUCUUUUCUGCUCCCCCUAUCCUCCCCAAAGAGAGUUGAGGUUUUACCAAAGUGGGAGACCCACCAGUAGAAGGAAGGAGAAGUUCCCUACGCAUUCCAGAGGCAGAAUCAGCGCACAAAACUCUGGUUACCUGUGCUGGCCGUGUUUACUGUUAAUGACUAGCAGAUAUUAAAGGUACAUUUGCUUCAUGAAUACUGCUCGACGACGACCCUGGCGAGCCCGCUCUGCGACCUGGAUCAUUUUAACGGCUUCUUCAAAUGUCAUGGCCUUGACAGUAUUUCAGGAACAUCCAGACAUCUGAAGCAAAUGAUUCACCCUGAAGGACAGAAGAAGGGAUGAGGGGAAACAGGCAGUUAUCCUGCCACGCUACUACUCAUCAGGAGUUGCAAAAUCAAGUUCCACAAUAAUGUCCCCAGGUCCUUUUGCCCAGAGAGAUUGACAGGUUCGUUCCCACUCUGUAAUGGCCGGGUUGUGAGCUACGCACGUGCCUGAGGACGAUAUUGCACCAGAGAUGGAUUAGAGCAUCCGACUAGCCUGCUAGUGCUGGCUUACCCCUGUGUGGCUUCUCCUGGACUCCUUCUGAGGCCCGUUCUGCUGAGGCAGAGCUGAAGAAACUUAGAGAUGAGGCACAGCCUCUUUCAGGAUCAGCAGUUUGCAGAGCGUACCUCGAAUCCCAGAAGACGCUAGAGCUACCCACAGUCCAUGAGAAACAUCGCCUUAAAAAAUCCUUCGCACGGCCAGCUCGGAGGAAAUGCAACUGGUGACUGUGAAAGUGCAAUAAAACAUUUGUAAAUACCCAGGAAUGAGGGUCCUUACAGAUGGCACUGACAUGCACUAGGCCCUUGCAUCAUCUGGAGGAAGGAAAAGAAGAAGAUAGGAAUGACAAGUCUAAGGCUUUCCUGAGCCUAUGUGACAGGGAUGUAAAUGCUGGUUGAAAUCUUAGAAGUGCGUGCUUUCCUUGAGUGGGAAGGCCAAGAGAUUGCUGCUCAUUGUUCUGAAGCAACGGUUUGUUGGCUCCAGAUGUUUGCCUGCGUGUCCCUGCUAACCACACACCUGCCUGUGCUAACAAGUACUUUGUGCCCGAGUCCUGAAGAAUAAAACAAAAUGCUUGUCUCGAAAACCAGGAAAGCCCCAAGUGCACGCCUAACGUCUCUUUCACAAGACCAAUCAUCCUUGAUGUGUGGGCCUCUCUCCUGAACAAUUAGCUGCUCCGUGAAGAUCUUGCAGACCUGUUGGAAGUGCCUUUUGACCCUGCUUUCAUUCAUCUGGCCAUUAAUAGCUUGCUCAGGGAUCCCGAGGAUUUAAACUCACCAGCAGAAAUUGCAGCUGGGCUGGUCGCUAUCCUGCUGCUCGCAGCUCUGUCUCCUGCCUUCGUGUCGUAAUUCAUAAAUAACUCUCUCCCUUCCUUCCCCUGCUUCUGGAGCCAGUUGUGGGUGUGUGCUGAUUGCACUGUUGUGGUUGACAUCAGCAUCCCCGCUCUCUUCAUUGCAGCCUAGCUUAAAAAAACAAAUGUCUCUCUUCUUCGUGUCAAGAACGUGAUUAACUCCUCCUGUUUCUGUGCAAGCAACAUGACAGGCCCGUGCAAGAAAAAAAAAAAGCAAUCAACUUGGAGAAGCUGCGUCUGUUCUCCUUUGGCUGGACUGCAUUUCUCAGGCUACAACAGGGAUGCCAAUGAAGCAAUGUCUCUCCUGGGAGAGAGUUGGCUGAAUCAUGUUAACGGAGCUCCAGCAGAAAGCUUCACCAGCAAAGGGUGGGGAAUAGCAGUGAUCUAGACCAAAUGACGACUUGAACUCGCAUUAAGAUUAAGUAGUUGUUCCUUCAUAUUUUUAUUUUUUUCUGCUGGAAAAUUGAAAUAAUUCCAUGACACCCGACAUUUUUUCUUCAAAAAAGUCAGUGUUUUUUUUAUUUCUAUCCAAAGCCUGUCUGUUGGAAAGCUCCCCACCAGCUCUAUUGGUGGGCCAGGGUGUUUUCCACGGUUAGCCUGAAGUUUCCAUUAGGCAAUGGAAGGCAAUUUUCUUUUUCUUUCUCUCUCUUUUUUUUUUCCUUUUUCUUUUUUUUUUUUUUUUUUUUCUUUUAAAGGCAGACAAGCAGAUCAACUGUUGGUGAGAACUUUAGUACCUGAUUUGUCCCUAUAAAAUUUUCUACAACGUGAAAGAACUUUUCCAAAGCUAUCUGCAACCUGCUUUUAAAGUUGAAUUUUGUCUAAUGCCACGAGGAGGAGUUAAUAGAUGGCUUAGGAGCUAGUUUCAGUUUGGGUUCCUAAUUGAAUCUUAGUUUCUUUCAGAUGAGUUGUUAAAUUUAUCCCAUGACCCUGUAAAUAUAAUCUGCCUUUCCAUCCCUUAAAUAGCCACCAUCUCCUUUCAAACAUGAUUUUGCAUUCACCUUCCUGGCGUCCAGUUUCAAGUAAAUAUUUUAAUCUCAGAGGAGCUUGGUUCUCUGCUUUCCACCCUCCUGGAUUUUCUGAGGAGAGCAAGGUCUCCACUGAUUUGUGCCGGUAGCCUUGAGAUCAGCUCCAAACAUAUUUCUUGCCUUUCAUUGGAAAGCUGUUCUGGUGGAGAACAACUUUUUGGCUAUUUAAGAGUGGAAGGGAGCCUCAAGGAAUCUGCUUUUUCUCUUUAGCGAGUGCCAGUAAUAUCACACUUGGAAAGCAGUUGCUUUUUUUUUUUUUUCUUUCUUUUCUGCCUUGUGAACUCAGUGCAAGGGAAGGGUGCUGGGGUGGACCCUGGGAGCAGAAGAUCCUGCCAUUCCCAUGGGUGACCUCUGGCUCUCCAGGACAUUUUGUGCCUUCCUUCCCCAGGGCACCACAACCUCGGCUCACGUUCUGUGGGUGACUUCAUACUGACAUGGGGAUGAAACAAUACCAAAAUUUGCAUCAAUACCAAAAGAUGAGAUUUUACUUGCAUUUUUAAAGCUCUUGGCAGAAUCUUUGGUCCAAGUCUGGCUGGUAGCAUGUCAGCAUGUGCUGGGAAAGCUUGUAACAGAGCUUGUAACUUUUAAUUUUUUCUUUGAGGGAAUGCUUGUCUUUCACCACUUCGCUAGGCGUUCCUUCACGUGCUCUGAAAUGUGAUUAUUUGUGAGGUAGUGUUUUUUUUUUUUCUUUUUCUCUCCCCCAUCCUUAAUGACUACCCCUGUUUGCAUUUUAUUUUAUCCUAGUUCCUCUGGUUCAGACUCAUUUACCUUGGUGAGGAGAGAUGGAGAUAUAAUGGCUGCAGCUUUGAUUUGGAGACUGGAGCAUUGAAAGAACCAUUUAAUUUCUUCCAUAACAAACUCACAGUAUGGAAAUCAAUAAUUCUGCUCCUCUUCCAGUUAUUUUUAUUGGUGCUAGCUGUCAUGCCAUGCAGAAAAUGCUCAGAUACUCUGACUGCCUUGCACUGUGUACCUGAGCAGAGAAGGGGCAGGCAGCAGCUAAAAGACCGUGCAGGUUCCCUGACUUGCUGUGACCUCUAAUGAUGGGUGGAAAAUCUACAAAACCACUUUUCUUUGUGUUUUUGCCG